Fukomys damarensis (Damara mole-rat) is the source of this 107-nucleotide small nuclear RNA. Its record names the gene U4. It matches the Rfam family "U4 spliceosomal RNA". From Rfam's summary of the family: U4 small nuclear RNA (U4 snRNA) is a component of the major U2-dependent spliceosome. The structure of U4 snRNA from yeast and human has been reported. U4 snRNA presents a k-turn RNA motif in the 5p-SL related to recognition of Snu13 protein. The record is from Ensembl. NCBI's taxonomy places the organism in Eukaryota, Metazoa, Chordata, Mammalia, Rodentia, Bathyergidae.
AGCUUUGCGCAGUGGCAGUAUCGUAGCCAAUGAGGUUUAUCCGAGGUGCGAUUAUUGCUAAUUGAAAAAAUGUGGUGAAUACUUAAUUUUAAAAAUUAUUACAAUAA